GGAGAAAUGGCUCAGCAGUUAAGAGCACUGGCUACUCUUUCAGAGGACCUGGGUUCAAUUCCCAGCAUCCA
Molecule: non-coding RNA, 71 nt
Organism: Mesocricetus auratus (golden hamster)
Lineage: Eukaryota; Metazoa; Chordata; Mammalia; Rodentia; Cricetidae
Source: Rfam